Molecule: non-coding RNA, 204 nt
Organism: Oryza glaberrima (African rice)
Lineage: Eukaryota; Viridiplantae; Streptophyta; Magnoliopsida; Poales; Poaceae
Source: Rfam
UUUAAGUGUAGUUAUAGGUUUCCAUGUCCAACAUUUGACCGUCCGUCUUAUUUGAAUUUUUUUAUCAUUACUUUUAUUAUUAUUAGAUAAUAAAACAUUAAUAGUAUUUUACGCGUAAGUUAUUUUUUUUAAUUUUUUUCAUAAUUUUUUCAAAUAAGACGGGCGGACAAACAUUGGACACGGAAAUCCAUAACUGCACUUAAA